RNAcentral lists this long non-coding RNA (2428 nucleotides) under Anas platyrhynchos platyrhynchos (common mallard). RNAcentral describes it as "lncRNA (ENSAPLG00000019322.1)". Lineage: Eukaryota; Metazoa; Chordata; Aves; Anseriformes; Anatidae. The record is from RNAcentral.
CGGAGACCCUGGACGUGUCCGAGCGCGGAGCAAAAACUUUUCACAGCCGCAAAACCUUUGCAAAAAAAAGUUCUUUCAGCAGCAAACGCCCCCCGUCCCUGCGUGUCUCCAUGUGCUCCCCAUAAGACUGCUGGGUUCCAGCCACGGGCGGCCCGACAGGGGCUCUGUGUCCCCCCCCCCCAGCUCCCAUGGGGGUGCGGGGACAGGGACGGGGUGCUGCGCAUGCAGGCUGAGCACCCAGCCCUGCUGGUGCCCUGGGGCACGGACGGUGCCAACGCUCCCCACCGCAGCCAUGCGCGCGCUCCGCGGCGGCUCCCCAGAGCCCCUCGCCACCAGCCCCACACCUGGGGGUCCGUGUGCCUUCCCGGUGGGGUUGUGGCCCCCCGGGGAGCGCCUGCCCCCACCCCAGGCACUGAACCAGGGUGGCAGGCACCCGGUGACUGGCACAGCUCUCCCAGUCCCUUCCCUCCCCAGCACCAGAUCGGCCACCGCGCGCUCCCCAGCCGUGCCCACCGGCACCGCACAUGCCCACGUGUCCCUGUGCCACCACUCGUGGGGACAGAGCCACCACUUCCACGGCUCCUGCUGCAUCAGGGGGCCCAAAAGUGGUGCCCCACAAGGUCCUGCUGCUGCCUGGGCCCCUCCACCCCUGCGGCACCACCCCGCGGCGCUGCCCUGAGCCUUCCCCUGCGCGAGCAGCUCCACGAGGCCGCUCCCAUGGGGCAGGAGCGCAGGGACGGCACCAGCAGGGACAUGGGGACAGCCCUGCCCGGCUGCAGCGGGGUUGGGACGUGCGGGGUGGUGGCCGGGGGCAUCGCCCACACCGUGGGAGCCGGGGAAGCCAGCAGGGAGCUGGGCUCCGCGCGGCCACGCUCCCCUUGUUAUUGCAGCUGCUGCAGCGAGCCCCGGGGGCCAUCCCAGAGCUGCGCGGCACCGGGAGCUGGCGGGGGGGGAGCACGGGGACAAGUGCACCGCGGGGCCUCGACCGCAGCCGUGCCGGACCCCGAGCGCUGCCAGGGCAGGAGGAGCUGGCGGGGGCCGCGGGGAGGGGGGGGGACACGCUUCCCUCCGGCCGCUGCGCCGCUCUCGGACUUUCCUCGGCGCAGGGAGGCGGGACAGGCCCGCGGCACGCCGGGAGCCGUAGUCCCAGGGCCAGCGCAGCUUGCCCACGGGGGGGGCUGCCCACGGGGAGGGGGGCCGCCCGCUGCCCCCGCCUCGCCCCCCGCGCGCUCACCUGGGCAUGCUUGCGCUUCCGCCCGGGCCGCCCGGCUUUCCUCAUGGGCGUCCCCGGAUCCUGCUUCUCCUCCUUGCUCUGGUUCUCCUCGGGCUCCUCUUCCCCCUGCGAGCCGGAGACAGAAGGACGGUUACGCUGCCGGCCCCGGGGCCGCGCACCCCGGGCGCCUGCUCACGGCUCCGCUCCUGCCUGCUGCGGGGCUCGCUGGCACCCAUGGGUGCCAUGGGCACGCGGGGCACCUUGCACCAGCCCUGCUUUGCUUGGACGAACCCAGUUCCUCCUGGGGGGCCUGGCUGGGACCCUCCACGACUCCCCGUGCCCUUGGGGGGGCUCAAAGGGUGAGCGUGACCUCUGCCAGGGCUUGGGGCCAGCCCUCGCCAUGGGGCUGGGCGCACCGCUGUGGGGCCGGGCACCUCGGCCUGGCAAUGCAGCUCCAUGUGCCAAGCAGUGCCACCACCUGGGGGGGUCACACCAGCCCCCACAACCUGCCGGAGCCCUGCACGUGUGGGGCUGGGGGCUCCUGCACCCCCUGCACACCCCACUCAGGGCUGUGUGGCCCCCACAGCCCCCAAGGGACACGGGCAGGGUGCAGGAACCAGCACGCCAGCAGCCGCCUGCUCUUCCCCACCACCCGCAGCGCUUUGGGGGCCCCUCCCCUGGUCCCCCCCCCGGGCUCUGCCCCAGGAAAGGAACCGGCUCCCUGCGCCCAGCACCGCGGCACGGCCAGGGACGUGCCCGUGCCCGGAGAGGCGGUGUCGGGGGCCGGGGCUGCCGCGUCCCGCGGCGGUGGGGAGCGUUUCACCUGAGCCCCAGAAGAUCUCGGCCGCGGCCAAGGCAGGAAGAGGCCGCGGAGGGGGGAGCGGGGAAGGCGGAGAGGCCGGCGGGGGGGCGGCGAGGGAGAGGCCGGGGAGGGGAUGGGAGCUGGCAGCCAGACAGCUCCGACAUCCAGCUGCACUCGCCCGGCCCCGGCCGCAUUCCUGCCCAGGGGCUGCCCGUGGCAGGGGCGCUGCGUUUGGUGCCGGUGGCACCCGGCACGGGCCGAGCGGGGCUGCCCAGGGGGGGUCCAGCCUGUGGGGGGGCAUGUGCCAUGCCCUAGGGUCAGUGUCCAGAAGAAGCUCCCCGCUCUGAGCCACCCCCCUGCAGGCCCACGUCCCCUGCACGGACCCAAACUGGGCACGGAGAGAGGGCUCGGGG